This 274-nucleotide ribosomal RNA is filed under the name uncultured bacterium. RNAcentral's name for it is "partial 16S ribosomal RNA". It matches the Rfam family "Bacterial small subunit ribosomal RNA", at positions 523 to 796 of the family's 1533-position model. The record is from RNAcentral.
AUACAGAGGGUGCGAGCGUUAAUCGGAAUUACUGGGCGUAAAGCGCGCGUAGGCGGCUUAUUAAGUCAGAUGUGAAAUCCCCGGGCUCAACCUGGGAACUGCAUCUGAUACUGGUAAGCUAGAGUUUUGGAGAGGGAAGUAGAAUUUCAGGUGUAGCGGUGAAAUGCAUAGAGAUCUGAAGGAAUACCAGUGGCGAAGGCGACUUCCUGGCCAAAAACUGACGCUCAGGUGCGAAAGCGUGGGUAGCAAACGGGAUUAGAAACCCCUGUAGUCC